RNAcentral lists this ribosomal RNA (460 nucleotides) under uncultured bacterium. RNAcentral's name for it is "partial 16S ribosomal RNA". It matches the Rfam family "Bacterial small subunit ribosomal RNA", at positions 338 to 795 of the family's 1533-position model. The record is from RNAcentral.
CCUACGGGAGGCAGCAGUGAGGAAUAUUGGUCAAUGGGCGCGAGCCUGAACCAGCCAAGUAGCGUGAAGGAUGACUGCCCUACGGGUUGUAAACUUCUUUUGUAAAGGAAUAAAGUGAGGCACGUGUGCCUUUUUGUAUGUACUUUAUGAAUAAGGAUCGGCUAACUCCGUGCCAGCAGCCGCGGUAAUACGGAGGAUCCGAGCGUUAUCCGGAUUUAUUGGGUUUAAAGGGAGCGUAGAUGGGUUGUUAAGUCAGUUGUGAAAGUUUGGGGCUCAACCGUAAAAUUGCAAUUGAUACUGGUAGUCUUGAGUGCAGUUGAGGUAGGCGGAAUGCGUGGUGUAGCGGUGAAAUGCUUAGAUAUCACGCAGAACUCCGAUUGCGAAGGCAGCUUACCAAACUGCCACUGACAUUGAUGCACGAAAGUGUGGGGAUCAAACAGGAUUAGAUACCCGUGUAGUC